Molecule: RNA transcript, 2766 nt
Organism: Prionailurus viverrinus (fishing cat)
Lineage: Eukaryota; Metazoa; Chordata; Mammalia; Carnivora; Felidae
Gene: SGCA
Gene name: sarcoglycan alpha
Exons: 10
Source: RefSeq, a predicted model, not a curated record
UCCCUCUCUCCUCCCCACCGCUCCUGUCUCUGUCACUCACGGGGGCCGGGCAGGCUGGGGCAGCCAUGGCAGCAGCAGUAAUCUGGAUUCUUCUCCUUGUGGGUCUCUUGGCAGGGCUGGGGGACACGGAGGCCCAGCAGACCACCUUGCAGCCUCUUGUGGGCCGCGUCUUUGUGCACACCUUGGACCAGGAAACCUUCCCCAGUCUUUCUGAGCACGUUGAUGUCCCACCCACCGUCCCUAUCACCUACCACGCCCACCUCCAGGGACACCCAGACCUGCCUCGGUGGCUCCGUUACACCCAGCGCAGCCCCCACCAUCCUGGCUUCCUCUACGGCACCCCCACCCCAGAAGAUCGUGGGCGCCAGGUCAUCGAGGUCAUAGCGUACAAUCGGGACAGCUUUGACACCACCUGGCAGAGGCUGGUGCUGUUGAUUGGAGACCCAGAAGGCCCCCUGCUGCCUUACCAGGCUGAGUUCCUGGUUCGAAGCCACGAUGUGGAGGAAGUGCUGCCCUCGACGCCCGCCAGUCGCUUCCUCACAGCCUUGGGAGGGCUCUGGGAGUCAGGGGAGCUCCAGCUACUCAACGUUACCUCUGCCUUGGACCGUGGGGGUCGUGUCCCCCUUCCCAUUGAGGGUCGCAAGGAAGGGGUUUACAUCAAGGUGGGCUCGGCCUCACCCUUCUCCACCUGCCUGAAGAUGGUGGCAUCUCCCGACAGCCAUGCUCGUUGUGCCCAGGGCCAGCCUCCGCUUCUGUCCUGCUACGACACCUUGGCACCUCACUUUCGUGUGGACUGGUGCAAUGUGUCCUUGGUGGAUAAGUCAGUGCCAGAGCCUGCAGAUGACGUGCCCACCCCAGGCGAUGGGAUUCUGGAACAUGACCCGUUCUUCUGCCCACCCACUGAGGCCACGGCCCGAGACUUCCUCACUGACGCGCUGGUCACCCUCCUGGUGCCACUGUUGGUGGCUUUGCUACUCACCCUGCUGCUGGCCUACAUCAUGUGCUGCCGGCGGGAGGGACGGCUGAAGAGAGACCUGGCCACCUCUGACCUCCCCUUGCCUGGGAAUGGAAAAUUGUGUUUUGGACAACUCCGCUUGCCAAAUUCCAGACUCAAGAGCUCAUCUGGAUCCUACCCUGGCCUUCUAGGGUGACCCCGCCCCCUCCCGCCAACCAGACGGGACUUGGUCCUACUCCCCCACCCCCGAGGAGGAGUGUGGCCCGUUCGGCGUGAAGCUAGAGAGUCUGACCUGUCGUCUCAUCUGUCAGGUUCUAGCCGGAGUCUAGCUGGAGUCUAGCUCAGUCCACUAACUGAGACUUGGACAGGGGUGGGGGUCAUUGCCCCUUCCCCAUUUGAUCAGUAGCCCAGAGGCAAGUAGGGUAGCUUCCGCCCUGCCUAGGGCCCCAGCCCUUUAUUGUUUGUGAUGAAAGGUUCGUGCUGUCUCACCUGGCAACCAGUAGUCUGGGAAAAUAUCUCCAAGUUGGACUCACAAAUGUGGGUGGGUUCGUGGAAAGGGGCUUGGAAACGUCCCUUUACUGGAGGCUAAGCACAGCAGUGGGCCCGCUAUAACAAAACAACAUUGAUAAUUAUGAUAGCAACAGCAAGCUCCCUGUAAUAUUAGCUGCCGCUUGCCGUGAUGCUGACCGGGCGAGAUUUGUUUUCCCUGCAUUAACUCAUUUAAUUUGCACAGCAACCGCAUUACAGUCGGGGAAAUCGUGGCACAGAGAAGUUAAGUGACUUGCAUAAGGUCACACAGCCAGUAAGGAGUAGAACUCACAUUUGAACCCAAAGCAAGUCUUCGUGCUAGGUUGCAUUGUGCGACCCUCCUUCUCAGAGUGAACUAAAGCUUGCCCCAGACAGCGGAAAGCAAGCUCAUGAGACUUGUCAGAUGAGAACGAGGCUGAGCCUUCUGGGAAGAAACUGAGUUCAGGAAGGACGCGGGGAUUCCAGGCCCAUUGAGCCCGGGGCUUGGUGCAGGCCUCAAGGAGCCUUGGUCUGAAAUAAAGACAGAAAGAAGAGACUCGGUGUCCAGAGCUAGUUGGUGCUGGGGGCAGACUGGAGCAGGUUGGGAGGGGUCAAGGUACAAAGGCAGGGGAGGCUAGAUGGGAGGAGCCAGAAGAUGAGACUGUCAAGGCCAGCCAGGAGAGAGCUUGAGCAAAAGUGGGAGGUGGGAAGAGAGAGGGGGUAGGUUUGCCAGACUAAGACAGGGAUGAGGCGGGGAGGGCUGGACGGUCGGUGGUAGGAGAGAGUAUUAGGGGAGGGAGCUGAGUGCUGGAAGGGUCCUACAGGGUCAUCAGUAUAUAAAGCCCAGCAGGCACCGGCCUCUGGAAAUAAUAUAUCCACCGUGGGUACCUCUUCAUGUCUUAGCAUCCCGGAAGUUCUUACCAUGCUCCACGCGCUUUUCUAAAAACACUUUUCUCCCCUAAUUGCUGCUACAGCGCUAGAAGGUAGUCCUAUUAUUAUCAUCCCCAUUUUACAGUUGGGGAAACUGAGGUGCAGAGUGGUUAAGCAACUUGCCAGGGACACAGAGCUUUGAAUCCAGGCCGUCUGCAGCCACGGCUUCUGCUCCCAUGACUGGCCACUGAGCUGUCACCGAAGACCUUCCAGUUUGUCCUCCCCUCACCUGUCGUCAUCCAGAUGGUCCACCACUGCACGAUCCGCGGGAACACGGAGGAACUACGACAGAUGGCAUCCAGCCGUGAGGUGCCCCGGCCGCUUUCCACGCUGCCCAUGUUCAACGUGCGCACGGGCGAGCGGCUGCCCCCCCG